This 371-nucleotide ribosomal RNA is filed under the name uncultured bacterium. Its description in RNAcentral is "bacterial SSU rRNA". It matches the Rfam family "Bacterial small subunit ribosomal RNA", at positions 527 to 896 of the family's 1533-position model. The record is from RNAcentral.
GGAGGGUGCAAACGUUGCUCGGAAUCAUUGGGCGUAAAGCGCACGUAGGUGGUUUGUUAAGUCGGGUGUGAAAUCCCUGGGCUCAACUUAGGAAGUGCAUUUGAAACUGGCGAGUUUGAGUACUGAAGAGGGUCGCGGAAUUCCCGGUGUAGAGGUGAAAUUCGUAGAUAUCGGGAGGAACACCAGUGGCGAAGGCGGCGAUCUGGGUAGAUACUGACACUGAGGUGCGAAAGCGUGGGGAGCAAACAGGAUUAGAUAUCUUGGUAGUCCACGUCGUAAACGAUGGAUGCUAGGUGUUGUGGGUAUUGACCCCUGCAGCGUCGCAGUUAACGCAUUAAGCAUCUCGCCUGGGGAGUACGGCCGCAAGGCUA